RNAcentral lists this transfer RNA (76 nucleotides) under Comamonas sp. RNAcentral's name for it is "tRNA-His". It matches the Rfam family "tRNA". Rfam says of the family: Transfer RNA (tRNA) molecules are approximately 80 nucleotides in length. Their secondary structure includes four short double-helical elements and three loops (D, anti-codon, and T loops). RNAcentral also lists the same sequence under 6 other names. Lineage: Bacteria; Pseudomonadati; Pseudomonadota; Betaproteobacteria; Burkholderiales; Comamonadaceae. The record is from RNAcentral.
GCGGUCAUAGCUCAGUUGGUAGAGCCCCGGAUUGUGAUUCCGGUUGUCGUGGGUUCGAGCCCCAUUGAUCGCCCCA